ACACGACUACAUUAGACUACCCGGGUAGUCCCAGCCCUAAACGAUGCGCGUUAGGUGUAUCGGUGACCACGAGUCACCGAGGUGCCGAAGGGAAACCGUGAAACGUGCCGCCGUGGGAAGUACGGUCGCAAGGCUAGAAACUUAAAGGAAUUGGCGGGGAGCACCACAACGGGUGGAGCCUGCGGUUUAAUUGGACUCAACGCCGAGAAGCUCACCGGAUAAGACAGCGGAAUGAUUGCCGGGCUGAAGACCCUGCAUGACCAGCUG
This 267-nucleotide ribosomal RNA is filed under the name uncultured archaeon. RNAcentral's name for it is "partial 16S ribosomal RNA". It matches the Rfam family "Archaeal small subunit ribosomal RNA", at positions 717 to 982 of the family's 1478-position model. The record is from RNAcentral.